GACGAACGCUGGCGGCGUGCUUAACACAUGCAAGUCGAACGGAAAGGCCCUGCUUUUGUGGGGUGCUCGAGUGGCGAACGGGUGAGUAACACGUGAGUAACCUGCCCUUGACUUUGGGAUAACUUCAGGAAACUGGGGCUAAUACCGGAUAGGAGCUCCUGCUGCAUGGUGGGGGUUGGAAAGUUUCGGCGGUUGGGGAUGGACUCGCGGCUUAUCAGCUUGUUGGUGGGGUAGUGGCUUACCAAGGCUUUGACGGGUAGCCGGCAUGGGAGGGUGACCGGCCACAUUGGGACUGAGAUACGGCCCAGACUCCUACGGGAGGCAGCAGUGGGGAAUAUUGCACAAUGGGCGGAAGCCUGAUGCAGCAACGCCGGGUGCGGGAUGACGGCCUUCGGGUUGUAAACCGCUUUCGCCUGUGACGAAGCGUGAGUGACGGUAAUGGGUAAAGAAGCACCGGCUAACUACGUG
RNAcentral lists this ribosomal RNA (468 nucleotides) under uncultured bacterium. RNAcentral describes it as "partial 16S ribosomal RNA". It matches the Rfam family "Bacterial small subunit ribosomal RNA", at positions 28 to 507 of the family's 1533-position model. The record is from RNAcentral.